Molecule: ribosomal RNA, 485 nt
Filed under: uncultured bacterium
Lineage: Bacteria
Description: bacterial SSU rRNA
Rfam family: Bacterial small subunit ribosomal RNA
Source: RNAcentral
AGAUUGAACGCUGGCGGUAUGCUUUACACAUGCAAGUCGAACGGCAGCACGGACUUCGGUCUGGUGGCGAGUGGCGAACGGGUGAGUAAUGUAUCGGAACGUGCCCAGUAGUGGGGGAUAACUACUCGAAAGAGUGGCUAAUACCGCAUGAGAUCUCUGGAUGAAAGCGGGGACCGUAAGGCCUCGCGCUACUGGAGCGGCCGAUAUCAGAUUAGGUAGUUGGUAGGGUAAGAGCCUACCAAGCCAACGAUCUGUAGCUGGUCUGAGAGGACGACCAGCCACACUGGGACUGAGACACGGCCCAGGCUCCUACGGGAGGCAGCAGUGGGGAAUUUUGGACAAUGGACGCAAGUCUGAUCCAGCAAUACCGCGUGCAGGACGAAGGCCUUCGGGUUGUAAACUGCUUUUGUACGGAACGAAAAGCCUUCUUCUAAUACAGGGAGGUCAUGACGGUACCGUAAGAAUAAGCACCGGCUAACUACGUG